UACAGAGGGUGCGAGCGUUAAUCGGAAUUACUGGGCGUAAAGCGUGCGUAGACGGUUUUGUAAGUCGGAUGUGGAAUCCCCGGGCUCAACCUGGGAAUUGCAUUCGAGACUGCAAGGCUUGGGUGCGGAAGAGGGAAGCGGAAUUUCCGGUGUAGCGGUGAAAUGCGUAGAUAUCGGAAGGAACAUCAGUGGCGAAAGCGGCUUCCUGGUCCAGCACCGACGUUCAGGCACGAAAGCGUGGGGAGCAAACAGG
This 253-nucleotide ribosomal RNA is filed under the name uncultured bacterium. RNAcentral's name for it is "partial 16S ribosomal RNA". It matches the Rfam family "Bacterial small subunit ribosomal RNA", at positions 524 to 776 of the family's 1533-position model. The record is from RNAcentral.